GCGCGAGUGGCGGAAUUGGUAGACGCGCUGGCUUCAGGUGCCAGUGAUCUCACGAUCGUGGGGGUUCAACUCCCCCCUCGCGCAC
RNAcentral lists this transfer RNA (85 nucleotides) under Nesterenkonia alkaliphila. RNAcentral's name for it is "tRNA-Leu". It matches the Rfam family "tRNA". Rfam says of the family: Transfer RNA (tRNA) molecules are approximately 80 nucleotides in length. Their secondary structure includes four short double-helical elements and three loops (D, anti-codon, and T loops). The record is from RNAcentral. Lineage: Bacteria; Bacillati; Actinomycetota; Actinomycetes; Micrococcales; Micrococcaceae.